This 484-nucleotide ribosomal RNA is filed under the name uncultured bacterium. RNAcentral describes it as "partial 16S ribosomal RNA". It matches the Rfam family "Bacterial small subunit ribosomal RNA", at positions 30 to 507 of the family's 1533-position model. The record is from RNAcentral.
AUUGAACGCUGGCGGCAGGCCUAACACAUGCAAGUCGAGCGGAUGAAGGGAGCUUGCUCCUGGAUUCAGCGGCGGACGGGUGAGUAAUGCCUAGGAAUCUGCCUGGUAGUGGGGGAUAACGUCCGGAAACGGGCGCUAAUACCGCAUACGUCCUGAGGGAGAAAGUGGGGGAUCUUCGGACCUCACGCUAUCAGAUGAGCCUAGGUCGGAUUAGCUAGUUGGUGGGGUAAAGGCCUACCAAGGCGACGAUCCGUAACUGGUCUGAGAGGAUGAUCAGUCACACUGGAACUGAGACACGGUCCAGACUCCUACGGGAGGCAGCAGUGGGGAAUAUUGGACAAUGGGCGAAAGCCUGAUCCAGCCAUGCCGCGUGUGUGAAGAAGGUCUUCGGAUUGUAAAGCACUUUAAGUUGGGAGGAAGGGCAGUAAGUUAAUAGCUUGCUGUUUUGACGUUACCAACAGAAUAAGCACCGGCUAACUUCGUG